RNAcentral lists this transfer-messenger RNA (346 nucleotides) under Diacronema lutheri. It matches the Rfam family "transfer-messenger RNA". From Rfam's summary of the family: Bacterial tmRNA, also known as 10Sa RNA or SsrA, is named for its dual tRNA and mRNA-like properties. Its role is to liberate the mRNA from a stalled ribosome. Lineage: Eukaryota; Haptophyta; Pavlovophyceae; Pavlovales; Pavlovaceae. The record is from RNAcentral.
GGGGCUGUUUAGGUUUCGAUACCUAAAAAAAACUAAUAAGUGUGAUGCAAGUAGAGGAAAAACCCUCUUAAAAAAAAAGCAAACAAUAAAUGCAAACAAUAUUUUAUCUUUUAAUCGAGUAGCUGUAGCCGUAUAGUUAUAUAGCAUUAACUCCUUAUGGUCAAAAAAUCUAGAAAGUUUGAUCGUAAAGCAAACCUUAGCUAGAAGCACACAAGAAUAACGAAUUAUAGAUCUUGUGUAAAGAAAAAUUCAAAAAAAAAAAACACGCUUUGACAAAAAGCUAAACUUGUGAGCGAGCAUUAUUAUUUUUUUUGGGUAGACGUGGGUUCGAAUCCCACCAGCUCCA